RNAcentral lists this ribosomal RNA (392 nucleotides) under uncultured bacterium. RNAcentral describes it as "partial 16S ribosomal RNA". It matches the Rfam family "Bacterial small subunit ribosomal RNA", at positions 523 to 918 of the family's 1533-position model. The record is from RNAcentral.
AUACGGAGGAUCCGAGCGUUAUCCGGAUUUAUUGGGUUUAAAGGGUGCGCAGGCGGCCAUUUAAGUCAGCGGUUAAAUCGUGGGGCUCAACCCCAUUCUGCCGUUGAUACUGGGUGGCUUGAUUGCGGUCGAGGUUGGCGGAAUUCGUUGUGUAGCGGUGAAAUUCAUAGAUAUGACGAAGAACACCGAUUGCGUAGGCAGCUGACCAGACCGCAAAUGACGCUCAUGCACGAAAGUGCGGGGAUCGAACAGGAUUAGAUACCCUGGUAGUCCGCACAGUAAACGAUGAAUACUUGUUUUCGGCGAUAUAAUGUCGGAGGCAAAGCGAAAGCGAUAAGUAUUCCACCUGGGGAGUACGCCGGCAACGGUGAAACUCAAAGGAAUUGACGGGG